UUACGGCUAUAUCAUGUUGAAAUACCGGAUCUUGACCGAUCACCGAAGUUAAGCAACGUCGAACCUGAUCGGUAUCUAGAUGGGUGACUGACAGGGAAUACCAAGUGCUGUAA
Acanthosepion pharaonis is the source of this 113-nucleotide non-coding RNA. NCBI's taxonomy places the organism in Eukaryota, Metazoa, Mollusca, Cephalopoda, Sepiida, Sepiidae. The record is from the annotation of a GenBank genome assembly.